UAGAUCGUAUAUCUUACACGGAUAACUGUGGUAAUUCUAGAGCUAAUACGUGCAUUUUGUUUGUGCCCUCGUGGUGCAAGCGCAGUUAUUUGCUCAAAGCCAGCGAGGCCUUCGGGUCUCUUACUUGGUGAAUCUGAAUAACCGAAGCAGAGCGUAUGGUCUCGUACCGACGCCAGAUCUUUCAAGUGUCUGACUUAUCAGCUUGUUGUUAGGUUAUGUUCCUACCAAGGCUGCGACGGGUAACGGGGUGUCAGGGCCCGACACCGGAGAGGGAGCCUGAGAAACGGCUACCACAUCCAAGGAAGGCAGCAGGCGCGCAAAUUACCCACUCCCGGCACGGGGAGGUAGUGACGAAAAAUAACGAUGCGAGAGCUUUAUGCUUCUCGUAAUCGGAAUGGGUACACUUUAAAUCCUUUAACGAGGAUCUAUUGGAGGGCAAGUCUGGUGCCAGCAGCCGCGGUAAUUCCAGCUCCAAUAGCGUAUAUUAAAGUUGCUGCGGUUAAAAAGCUCGUAGUUGGAUCUGGGUAGUCGAUGGGCGGUGCGCCUUCCGGCGCUACUGCUCGUUCGGCACCACAUUCCGGUCUUGUCUUGCAUGCUCUUCACUGAGUGUGCUUGGCGGCCGGCACGUUUACUUUGAAAAAAUUAGAGUGCUCAAAGCAGGCGUUAAGCCUUGUAUAAUGGUGCAUGGAAUAAUGGAAUAAGACCUUGGUUCUAUUUCGUUGGUUUUCGGAGCUCAAGGUAAUGAUUAAUAGGAACAGACGGGGGCAUUCGUAUUGCGGCGUUAGAGGUGAAAUUCUUGGAUCGUCGCAAGACGCACUACUGCGAAAGCAUUUGCCCAA
RNAcentral lists this ribosomal RNA (839 nucleotides) under Insulobius orientalis. RNAcentral describes it as "SSU rRNA". It matches the Rfam family "Eukaryotic small subunit ribosomal RNA", at positions 121 to 962 of the family's 1831-position model. The record is from RNAcentral. Lineage: Eukaryota; Metazoa; Tardigrada; Eutardigrada; Parachela; Hypsibiidae.